CCCAAAAUUCCCCCUCCCUCCCAACAAAAUUCCCAUUCCCUCUUAAUUAAUAAGUUAGAAAAAAAAACCCUAUCACUUCGUCACAGCCCCCAUUCUCACCGUGUUCCUUCGAGCCAGCCCCCACCAUCGCCGAGCUCCUCCCAACCCCUCCAUCGUACGUCGUUUCCCUUCCUCCCAGCCCCUACCAUUGUCCCAUUGUCGUUCACCUUCUUCCCAACCCCUACUUUGUCACAGCCCCCAAGAUUGACGAAGGCAGAAACCCUAGCGUCGCACUCCUCCGCUAUCCAGCCACCGUCGAACUUCGAAGAGAGAGAAAGAAAGCGCAUGAAGAUGAGAGAGAGAGGGGUCAAAAGCUGAGCUGGUGUCUGUCACCGCCUCCACUGCCUUCACGCCGCUGUUGAAGCUCUGCUGCGGCUGUUGCUGCCGUCUGAGCCGCCGCCAGGGGAAGCCGCUGCCGCCGUUUCCAUUAUCUGAAAGGGAAUGAAGUGAGUAACAUCAUUCAGUAUAGAUGUAGAGAGCAAAAGGGUGGCAGUGAUGGGCUACAUUUCUCCAUUGAAAGUCCUUGAGAGCAUUUCAAAGGUGAAAAGAGCAGAGUUCUGGAAUUGUUAAAUGUUAAUUAGCACUGUGAAUAAGCACAUAGCAAAAAUUACUCUUUUAAUUAAUCUGCAUUGGGUUAAUUAGCUACAUGGGAAGAAGGAUCAAUUCUGAGGCUUUAGAAGAAAUUUCAAAAUGUGAACACAAAAGAAAAAAGUUGAAGUAGCUUGACUCUACAGUUUACUUUACUAAGGAGGUGUUAGAGUGGAGACAGAAAGGUGGGCUAAGUCAUAUAGUUGAAAGUUGAUUUUAUUUUGUGGUGGCAUGAGCCUUAAUCUUUCAUGUAUGUACAACCCUCACAUGCUCAUGGUGUGGCAUCUUUUAGUGGCAUCAUAAACAACAUGAACAAACUUGGUAAUUUGGAGCAAGUAAUGUUGAAAGCUACGCUGAGUGGCUGAUAUAAUGAUCUCAAAACAAUGUUCCUCAACUCAAGGAAGAAAUGAAUUCUGAGGCAUGUCUUUGAAAAAGGAUUAACAUGAUCAAGCCAAAGAACAGAUCAAGAAGACAUGAUGUGAUGAAGAAAAUAUGUUCCAUACAAAUAUCACAUGGGAUAGUCUUACAAUGGCUUUAGUUAUGAAAAUGUAUUUGAUGUAUGUGUUAUGUACUUUUUGAGGUAUUACAUGUAAUUGGAAAAAAUUCCACUCUAUUUGGAUUUGUGUUGUUUAGACUAAAGAUUAAACAUAUCUAUCUUAUAAUGAAACUUUUAUGAUUUA
Non-coding RNA from Arachis ipaensis, 1307 nucleotides. The record is from RefSeq and is a predicted model, not a curated record. Lineage: Eukaryota; Viridiplantae; Streptophyta; Magnoliopsida; Fabales; Fabaceae.